RNAcentral lists this ribosomal RNA (1421 nucleotides) under uncultured bacterium. RNAcentral describes it as "16S ribosomal RNA". It matches the Rfam family "Bacterial small subunit ribosomal RNA". The record is from RNAcentral.
CUAACMCAUGCAAGUCCAACGGVAGGCUUGAUUUCGGHCGAGCCGAGAGUGGCGAACGGGUGAGUAACACGUAGCUCAUCUACCCUGGAGAGGGGGAUAACGGCUGGAAACGACCGCUAAUACCCCGUACGCUUACGGUCCGUAGAAACCGUAAGAAAGGCUUUGGCGCUCUGGGAUGAGGCUGCGGUCCAUCAGCUAGUUGGUAGGGUAACGGCCUACCAAGGCGAAGACGGAUAGGGGGCCUGAGAGGGUGACCCCCCACACUGGCACUGAGAUACGGGCCAGACUCCUACGGGAGGCAGCAGUGAGGAAUAUUGCACAAUAGGCGCAAGCCUGAUGCAGCAACGCCGCGUGGACGAUGAAGGCCUUCGGGUUGUAAAGUCCUUUUCUGGGGGAAGACAUGGACGGUACCCCAGGAAUAAGUGUCGGCUAACUACGUGCCAGCAGCCGCGGUAAAACGUAGGACGCGAGCGUUAUCCGGAUUUACUGGGCGUAAAGGGCACGCAGGCGGCCGGAUGAGUCGGACGUGAAAGCUCCUGGCUUAACUGGGAGAGGUCGUUCGAUACUGUUCGGCUUGAGGUAGGGAGAGGGGUGCGGAAUUCCCGGUGUAGUGGUGGAAUGCGUAGAUAUCGGGAGGAACACCAGUGGCGAAAGCGGCACCCUGGCCCACACCUGACGCUGAGGUGCGAAAGCGUGGGUAGCAAACAGGAUUAGAUACCCUGGUAGUCCACGCCGUAAACGAUGUCAACUAGGUGUUGGUAGUGUUACACUAUCAGUGCCGUAGCCAACGCGUUAAGUUGACCGCCUGGGGACUACGAGCGCAAGCUUAAAACUCAAAGGAAUUGACGGGGGCCCGCACAAGCAGCGGAGCGUGUGGUUUAAUUCGAUGCAACACGAAGAACCUUACCAGGGCUUGACAUGGAAGUGGUAGUGAAGCGAAAGCGGAACGACCCUUCGGGGAGCUUACACAGGUGCUGCAUGGCUGUCGUCAGCUCGUGUCGUGAGAUGUUCGGUUAAGUCCGCUAACGAGCGCAACCCUCGCCGCGUGUUAUACGUGUCACGCGGGACUGCCAGUCUUAAGCUGGAGGAAGGUGGGGAUGACGUCAAGUCAGCAUGGCCUUUAUGUCCUGGGCUACACACACGCUACAAUGGCCGGUACAGUAGGUAGCGAAGCCGCGAGGUGGAGCCAAUCCACAAAGCCGGUCUCAGUUCAGAUUGCAGGCUGCAACCCGCCUGCAUGAAGACGGAGUUGCUAGUAACCGCAGGUCAGCUAUACUGCGGUGAAUACGUUCCCGGGCCUUGUACACACCGCCCGUCACGUCAUGGGAGCUGGUAACACCUGAAGUCAGUAUUCUAACCGCAAGGAGGGAGCUGCCGAGGGUGGGGCUGGUGACUGGGACGAAGUCGUAACAAGGUAGCCG